Molecule: ribosomal RNA, 776 nt
Filed under: uncultured Neocallimastigales
Lineage: Eukaryota; Fungi; Neocallimastigomycota; Neocallimastigomycetes; Neocallimastigales
Description: partial large subunit ribosomal RNA
Rfam family: Eukaryotic large subunit ribosomal RNA
Source: RNAcentral
UAUCAGUCAUGCAUAGCAUAUCAAUAAGCGGAGGAAAAGAAACUAACAAGGAUUCCCUAGUAACGGCGAGUGAAGCGGGAAGAGCUCAAAUUUGAAAUCUUCAAGGUUUUACCUUGACGAAUUGUAGUUUAAAGAAGUGUUUUCUGUUAGAGAGUUUGGUAAAAGUUCUUUGGAAUAGGACAUCAUAGAGGGUGAGAAUCCCGUAUUUGACCAUUACUUUCCAGCUGUGUGAUACACUUUCAAAGAGUCGGAUUGUUUGGGAAUGCAGUCCAAAAUGGGUGGUAAAUUUCAUCUAAAGCUAAAUAUUGGCGAGAGACCGAUAGCGAACAAGUACCGUGAGGGAAAGAUGAAAAGAACUUUGAAAAGAGAGUUAAACAGUACGUGAAAUUGUCAAAAGGGAAGCGUUUGACACCAGUGUUGUUUAGUUGAAAAUCAAUUCAAUAAUUUGGGAUUUUGAGUAGUAUUGACUUCAUCAGCUUUCUGCACUUUUUCUUGUCAUUAUUGAAUGCACUUUUCAGGUUAACAAGUCAACAUCAAUUUCUUUUGUUGUAAAAGGUUAAGAGGAAGGUGGCUUUACUUUCGGGUAAAGUGUUUAUAGCCUUUUAACUCUGCAAUCGGAGAGAUUGAGGUCUGCAGCGUAGAUCCUUCGGGGUUAGAUACAUUUGUGCUAAGCUAUAGCUUUUCAUAGACAACUUGUUGACUAUGAUUGAGUCUUGUAGCUUACUCGCUUAUGCUAUUUUACCUACGCUUAGGAUGUUGAUGUGAUACUGCGAGCA